UGCCCAAGAGAGUUUUGUCUCCCAGCAGA
This 29-nucleotide non-coding RNA is filed under the name Rattus norvegicus (Norway rat). The record is from RNAcentral. Lineage: Eukaryota; Metazoa; Chordata; Mammalia; Rodentia; Muridae.